Kogia breviceps (pygmy sperm whale) is the source of this 854-nucleotide non-coding RNA. Lineage: Eukaryota; Metazoa; Chordata; Mammalia; Artiodactyla; Physeteridae. The record is from RefSeq and is a predicted model, not a curated record.
AUUCCAUCCCGGUUAGAUUCCAUUUCACAUGUGGAGUAGUCUUUUGUCUUUUCAGCCUAUUAUGACUUUUGAAGAAAUACAAGAAAGGUGAGUCCAUGUGACUAGUUCUGGCCAAAGGAAUCAUGAACAGAAGCAACGUGGGUCAUUUCUGGGCCAAAACAUUUAACUGACAGAGUGAGACCUUCAUGAACUGUCUUUCCUGCUGUCACAGUGAUUGGAAGCAUUCCAGAUAGUGCUUGCAACAUCCAUCAGUCUGGUCUCUGAAAGACAAUGAAGAACAAUACCCUCAAAUGAUCUGCACCAGAUGUACAGAACACACACUAAAAUCCGAUGAAGUGAGAAGACUACCUUUUUUGACAGUCCUUUUAUCUUCACUCUCCAACUAAAGUUUCAGAGAAAGAAUUAUUGAAAUUCAAUAAAGAAUUAUGGCAAUCCCAGCCUUCACUCCCCUUGAUGCCCCAUAGGAAGAGUGUAAAGUUGGAAGACAUGAGCAGUCUUAUAGCUCACUUCUCCCUAAAACACGAGAAUGUUGCCAGAUUUUGUGUUCCAAGUUCUGAACUUCUUGCCUUGUGGAGUUCUUGACCACCAUAUGAGCAGGGCCAUGUGCUGAAGUGCUUAGGACCCCAAAGGCAACUCCUACUCCCACUCUACUCUUUGUUGGUUUGUUUUCUCUUUAAGCCUAAUCUUGUGCAAGGAAAAGGCAGACAAACUGGGGAGGAGAAAGACUUUUCAGGAGUUUUCUCAGAAAAUUAGGAAGUAAAUGAUGAUAUGGGAGGCUUUUGUUGAAUGAUAGAAACCUGAGGCCUUUACCACCCUGAAGGCUUGAGAUGUGUCAAGAUCUCUAAUGGGAUAUU